UACGUAUGGUGCAAGCGUUAUCCGGAUUUACUGGGUGUAAAGGGAGCGUAGGCGGCGCGUUAAGUCUGAUGUGAAAACCCGAGGCUCAACCACGGGAGUGCAUUGGAAACUGGCGGGCUGGAGUGCCGGAGAGGUAAGCGGAAUUCCUAGUGUAGCGGGGAAAUGCGUAGAUAUUAGGAGGAACACCAGUGGCGAAGGCGGCUUACUGGACGGCAACUGACGCUGAGGCUCGAAAGCGUGGGGAGCAAACAGG
This 253-nucleotide ribosomal RNA is filed under the name uncultured bacterium. RNAcentral's name for it is "partial 16S ribosomal RNA". It matches the Rfam family "Bacterial small subunit ribosomal RNA", at positions 524 to 776 of the family's 1533-position model. The record is from RNAcentral.